UGGUGGGGUGACUUGUCUGCCUAAUUGCGAUAACGAACGAGGCCUUAACCUGCUAAAUAGCCCGCAUUGCUCCGGCAGUGCGCUGGCUUCUUAGAGGGACUUUCGGCUCAAGCCGAAGGAAGUUUGAGGCAAUAACA
Molecule: ribosomal RNA, 137 nt
Filed under: uncultured eukaryote
Lineage: Eukaryota
Description: partial 18S ribosomal RNA
Rfam family: Eukaryotic small subunit ribosomal RNA
Source: RNAcentral